Molecule: ribosomal RNA, 547 nt
Filed under: uncultured bacterium
Lineage: Bacteria
Description: bacterial SSU rRNA
Rfam family: Bacterial small subunit ribosomal RNA
Source: RNAcentral
UGGGGAAUAUUGCGCAAUGGGGGGAACCCUGACGCAGCCAUGCCGCGUGAAUGAAGAAGGCCUUAGGGUUGUAAAGUUCUUUCGGUAUUGAGGAAGGUUGAUGUGUUAAUAGCACAUCAAAUUGAUGUUAAAUACAGAAGAAGCACCGGCUAACUCCGUGCCAGCAGCCGCGGUAAUACGGAGGGUGCGAGCGUUAAUCGGAAUAACUGGGCGUAAAGGGCACGCAGGCGGUUAUUUAAGUGAGGUGUGAAAGCCCCGGGCUUAACCUGGGAAUUGCAUUUCAGACUGGGUAACUAGAGUACUUUAGGGAGGGGUAGAAUUCCACGUGUAGCGGUGAAAUGCGUAGAGAUGUGGAGGAAUACCGAAGGCGAAGGCAGCCCCUUGGGAAUGUACUGACGCUCAUGUGCGAAAGCGUGGGGAGCAAACAGGAUUAGAUACCCUGGUAGUCCACGCUGUAAACGCUGUCGAUUUGGGGGUUGGGGUUUAACUCUGGCGCCCGUAGCUAACGUGAUAAAUCGACCGCCUGGGGAGUACGGCCGCAAGGUUA